This 465-nucleotide ribosomal RNA is filed under the name Vreelandella stevensii. RNAcentral describes it as "partial 16S ribosomal RNA". It matches the Rfam family "Bacterial small subunit ribosomal RNA", at positions 338 to 795 of the family's 1533-position model. The record is from RNAcentral. Lineage: Bacteria; Pseudomonadati; Pseudomonadota; Gammaproteobacteria; Oceanospirillales; Halomonadaceae.
CCUACGGGCGGCAGCAGUGGGGAAUAUUGGACAAUGGGGGCAACCCUGAUCCAGCCAUGCCGCGUGUGUGAAGAAGGCCCUCGGGUUGUAAAGCACUUUCAGUGAGGAAGAACGCCUGGUGGUUAAUACCCAUCAGGAAAGACAUCACUCACAGAAGAAGCACCGGCUAACUCCGUGCCAGCAGCCGCGGUAAUACGGAGGGUGCGAGCGUUAAUCGGAAUUACUGGGCGUAAAGCGCGCGUAGGUGGCUUGAUAAGCCGGUUGUGAAAGCCCCGGGCUCAACCUGGGAACGGCAUCCGGAACUGUCAAGCUAGAGUGCAGGAGAGGAAGGUAGAAUUCCCGGUGUAGCGGUGAAAUGCGUAGAGAUCGGGAGGAAUACCAGUGGCGAAGGCGGUCUUCUGGACUGACACUGACACUGAGGUGCGAAAGCGUGGGUAGCAAACAGGAUUAGAUACCCCGGUAGUC